RNAcentral lists this ribosomal RNA (497 nucleotides) under uncultured bacterium. RNAcentral's name for it is "partial 16S ribosomal RNA". It matches the Rfam family "Bacterial small subunit ribosomal RNA", at positions 28 to 507 of the family's 1533-position model. The record is from RNAcentral.
GAUGAACGCUGGCGGCGUGCCUAAUACAUGCAAGUCGAGCGAACGGACGAGAAGCUUGCUUCUCUGCUGUUAGCGGCGGACGGGCGAGUAACACGUGGAUAACCUACCUAUAAGACUGGGAUAACUUCGGGAAACCGUAGCUAAUACCGGAUAAUAUUUUGAACCGCAUGGUUCAAAAGUGAAAGACGGUCUUGCUGUCACUUAUAGAUGGAUCCGCGCUGCAUUAGCUAGUUGGUAAGGUAACGGCUUACCAAGGCAACGAUGCAUAGCUGACCUGAGAGGGUGAUCGGCCACACUGGAACUGAGACACGGUCCAGACUCCUACGGGAGGCAGCAGUAGGGAAUCUUCCGCAAUGGGCGAAAGCCUGACGGAGCAACGCCGCGUGAGUGAUGAAGGUCUUCGGAUCGUAAAACUCUGUUAUUAGGGAAGAACAUAUGUGUAAGUAACUGUGCACAUCUUGACGGUACCUAAUCAGAAAGCCACGGCUAACUACGUG